UACACUGUAAAAUGUAAUAUUGUGUUUAAUUAAAAAUAUUAAAUAGGCUGGACUCAAUUUUUAUCAAUUUGUUAUUAGAACUCAAUUUAAAUAAGUUACCAGUACUUUUAAUGCAAAAACGCUGAUAAACUCCAUUUAUUUGAGUUGUCUUAACUUAGAAAAACUAAGUAAGCUGGAAGUUUUGCUUCUCAGUGCGGAAGGAUGAAAGAUGUGUUUUGAAAAUGCCACGUGACUACCGUCCUCCUCCCUCGCAGAUCAGUCCGCAUGUUCACGGUGCAUUUUUUAUGGAAUAUGUUGAGCAAACCUGGAGAAGCGUCAGCUCAAGAUAUUAUUGUUGUCAUUGCUGUGGAUUUUUACCUGAUACACUGACUUGGCUCGGGACCAGCACUCCUGCUGUUGGACAGAAAGACAUCAACUCAGUGACUUGAGAUAUGACUGCACGAUGCUGUUGCUGGUGACUCCAGUUAAUUCUACAAGACAUGCUGUGACAACAGGAGAGAUGAGUCCUCCGUCACAGAUGGUGUGGUCAGUGAAGAUGGUCGCCUGCAGGUUCAAGCUCAUUGCAUCUCCAACCCACAUCCACUGCCACUGUACUUAAGGGAAGUUAAAGACUUUCUUCUGCACCUACAUUUGGAUCACCUCGAUCCAUGAUAGUCAUUCAGGCAGUAAUGCCUGGACUGGAAACAAGCAUCCUUAAAAUAAUACAACAUUCCAGCUCAUGUGUUGGAAUGGAAAACAAAUGUGUUGUUUAAAUUAGAGACUGCACUUGUGACAGAACAAUAAAUAUUUUAUUUUGAUUAUAUAAGUAAUGUAAGUACAAAACAAACUGUGGUAGACCUAAACUUAUUUUCAGAAUAAUUACAUCUGAGACUUUGUUUCAUUGUAAGAUUAUAACAGUGAUGGCAAUAUAAUUGUUUGUUGUUCAGCAGAACAUGUCCAGUAUGUUGGCUGUUAUACUUUGUUGUGUUUGAAAAUAAAA
Oreochromis aureus is the source of this 979-nucleotide long non-coding RNA. NCBI's taxonomy places the organism in Eukaryota, Metazoa, Chordata, Actinopteri, Cichliformes, Cichlidae. The record is from Ensembl.